Molecule: long non-coding RNA, 341 nt
Filed under: Fukomys damarensis (Damara mole-rat)
Lineage: Eukaryota; Metazoa; Chordata; Mammalia; Rodentia; Bathyergidae
Description: lncRNA (ENSFDAG00000031080.1)
Source: RNAcentral
CAACCCUCUCCCGAAAGCCUUGCUGUGCAGCAUGCAUGGGGAAUGAGGGGGACAUUCUCAAUCCAAGCCAUAGCAAUCUGUUAUAAGGUUAUGAAUUCCUGGGUAAUAUUCUAUUUGCCUUUGGCACAUUAUGAAUCACAAAUCAGCCAUUGUUGUUUUAAUCAUUUAACAAAUUUAUUGAGAUAAAAGUGACACACGAUCAAUGGCCUGUCUCUAAAUUUUGUACUUUGUAAGUAUUGUUAUAUGAUGAACAACUGAAAUCAUCAGUACAACUGAGAUAACGAAUAUAUGUCAUUCCUCAAGGUUUCUUUCGUUUCUUUGUGUCUCAAUUUUCCCAACCC